GUUUUGCUGCUCUCUCACCUCUCCAGGAGAGAGACACAUUCAUCUGUCAGCUUAUCGGAGGAAUUUCCAACAAUCUGUGGCAACGGUACAAGUCUCAAUCUUGCUGACUGAUAGCAAAUAGAAGUACACAGCAGCACCCGCCCGGCAUAGAUGGGGCACGAGAGAGGAUCCGGAUGGAUCAGUGAGGAUUCAUCUUCUCCCAAUGAAUCCCUCAGUCGCCCCCGGCCCCACGCUGCUGGUCCUGCUGUCUGUCUGUGGGAGCUCGAUGUCGAGCUGUGAGCACGGUGGCAUCUCAUCUCCUCUCCAGCACUGGCAGACAACUCGUUUUUAGGGCUAAACAUGAAUACCAGAUCCUUUCCCAGCAACACUCCCAGGGCUGGAGCUGGAUGCUAUGGAAGAAGCCAAAUCCACAACUGCAAAAGAAAACAUGGUCCCAAUCAGCGUUAAUUACUCAGGAGCUCAACUCUCAGCACCUUUCUCCUCCUCUCCUGCUUUUCUCCCGUCCUGCCUCUGCUCUGUCAACCCCUCCAUCAUUAAAUCUGUGAUGUCUGGUGGCUCCAAACAACGCUCCGGUUGUUGGCUAAUUCUCAGUGAGACUUUUAUUCCAAAGGCUUCUCCAACAGCCUGAUGAUAUAAUAACAGCUUGCUCAUUACCCCGAAUAUAAAUAGUUGAAGUAUCCCCCGAGAAUGGACACAGCUGGUGGAACUUCCCAUAUUAGCACCGCAUUAAUAUUUAUGGCAGCCCCGCAAAAAGCUUUUAUUGAGGGGAAGCUGAAGAACAGAAAGCAGAACAAAAUCUGGAGCAUUUCUACUGACUGAUGGCAUCCAUGAACACCGCAGGCUCCCGUGUAACUCACAGCCUGUGGCUGAAGGCUUGAGCACAAGAAACUCCCAUGUGACAAGUGUCUGAUGGACCUCGAGGGGCUGAUAACUCUGAACGACACCGAAAUGGGGACACGCAGACCUUAACGACGUGCCCUAAUGGAGAUGCAGGAGGGACACCACCAGCUGAAUGACCCUCUCAGAGACAGUGGUGGGGUGCUCCGAAGCCAACGUUGGUGUGCUCCGAAGCCAACGUUGGUGUGCUCCAAAGCCAACGUUGGUGUGCUCCAAAGCCAACGUUGAUGGAGCAACGUAGAAUCUGCUGUCAACCAUACAGAUAGCACAGGGGUUCUCCACCUCAGAAACGUGGCCAGUGAGACACCACUUGAACAGUGAAUAUUUUUGGAGACCCCCUUUGAGGGCAGGGGGAGGUUUGGUCUGUGCAGGCACCGACUUUCCCAAGGCUCCUCAGAGCAGAGAGGGAUGUGGGGGGAGGCACAGGAGCAGCAAUGGGACCUGCUGCUGGUCCUGGGGAGGAAAAGGGUAACAGGGACCCCACUCCUCGCUGCCGCGCUGGGUAAAAUUAAUUGAUAAAACAUAAUCGCUGUAUCAAUGCCUUUUUAGAAAAGAUAAAGCACAUUUCAAAGCUAAUUUAGGCCUGCAGACAAAUGGCUUAAAGAAGAGCUACUGUACUGAAAAAUGUCCAUGUCAUUUUUUCCCCAAAUCAUAGUUUCAAUGCACACAGCCUCAGCCUGACAUUCUGAAUUAUGGCUUUUAUUAAACAUUAGUAAUAGAGUGCACUUAAAUCAUGGUUUUCCUGUAAAA
Molecule: long non-coding RNA, 1647 nt
Organism: Calidris pugnax (ruff)
Lineage: Eukaryota; Metazoa; Chordata; Aves; Charadriiformes; Scolopacidae
Exons: 4
Source: RefSeq, a predicted model, not a curated record